UGCAGCAGCAACAGCACAUGAUGGAGACGAUGAUGAGGAGACCAUCUCUCUGGAUUCCAGAAGGCAUGAGGACCCAGAUGCUAUACAGUGGGAAAACCAGCCUGGCAACAUAGUGCGUAUUAAUAAAAGGACACCACAUCCUGCCAAAUUCCAGCUGCGCUAAUUGUAUUGUGUUCACAGAGCUCACAAGCUAUCAGAAAGUUGUAUGGCAACCACCUCCGGCGCCAAAUAGAAAUGGCAGACAUAGACAUUCAGUACAAGAAGAAAAAAGAUGGAAAAUCUUGCACUGGAGUUCGAAAUAAAAAAGAGGACAAUUAGGAAACUGGACCUUGAAAUAAAAAAACUUGAGAGGGAGCUCCAAGAAGAUGACACAGCUCAAAAUAAAAAUUAGGUAUAUUCUCGUAAAGUCAAGUGAGCCAUGACAUAUGAGCUCUUAUUGUGAGCACACAGGACGGUGGCAUCUUUCUAAGGUUUUUUUUUAUUUUCCCAGCAAUCAGUACAACCAAGUCAUCGUUAUAAGGCAUCGCCCUCUUUUG
Long non-coding RNA from Oncorhynchus tshawytscha (Chinook salmon), 536 nucleotides. NCBI's taxonomy places the organism in Eukaryota, Metazoa, Chordata, Actinopteri, Salmoniformes, Salmonidae. The record is from Ensembl.